RNAcentral lists this long non-coding RNA (1037 nucleotides) under Citrus maxima (pomelo). Its description in RNAcentral is "long non-coding RNA (CMAX_LNC001625)". The record is from RNAcentral. Lineage: Eukaryota; Viridiplantae; Streptophyta; Magnoliopsida; Sapindales; Rutaceae.
ACUGAUUGACCUAUGUUUCACGACUCUCUCUGUAUUGAUUAGUUCUGUUCCAUUUCAUGCGUUUCGAGCAAUCUUAUAAAUGUUAAGCAAAUAUGUAUGCUGUACUCUGUUGUCUUGGCUCCAUUUCCUGUUAAUGCAAAUGAAUUCCUUGAUUAGUUCUGUUCCAUUUCAUGCAUUUCGAGCAAUCUUAUAAAUAUUAAGCAAAUAUGUAUGCUGUACUCUGUUGUCUUGGCUCCAUUUCCUGUUAAUGCAAAUGAAUUCCUUGAUUAGUUCUGUUCCAUUUCAUGCAUUUCGAGCAAUCUUAUAAAUGUUAAGCAAAUAUGUAUGCUGUACUCUGUUGUCUUGGCUCCAUUUCCUGUUAAUGCAAAUGAAUUCCAGCUAAAUAAGAACGAAGGCAGCAGAUGCUGUAAUAACCAGCAGGUUUCUUCUCUGACUUGGAUCAGCAGAUGUAUAAUUCGUGAUCUGUGAGCUGCAUCAUAGUAGUGCAUGAAUCUAAUUGCUGCCCCCGUAAUUUUUAUUAAGUACGAAAACUGAUACUCCUUGACUUGUAUUCUGCAUUAGAAGCUGGAACAACAAUUGAUGAAACUGUUAACAGAUGAUUUAUCCUGAAACCAGAUUUGAGGUCUGUGUGUUGGCACGUUCGUAAGAAAUUGGCAUUUUAUGCAAAUCGUAUCAUCGGACUAGUGGGGUUGCUGGGGCAUACGCUAUCAAGUAUUUCUUCUAAUUGAACUGGUAAUUGCAAAGAGUGACCUUCAUCAUUAAUGUAAAAUCGCAUCCUGAUUUCGGACAAGUGAUUAAGACGGUGGAUUAAUCGACGCGUCUAUCGUGUUGAGGAAUCAAUUUCAUAAGAGCCCAAUUGAACUUUUUAAAGGAGGAAAAAGACUUGGGAGAGGAUUGAGCAGGUCACAUCUUGACUUUGAGCGCGUUUUUAGACGGCUUUCUUCUCUCCACUCCAGGAAUGCUAUUACCAUUUUUUCUCCGCCAUAAUAAGUUCGAUCAUUCAAUGAUGAACACAUUUUAUGUACAUAGACACUAAG